AUUUAUAGACACAAUUUUGCCCGAAUAAGCCCAGAAAUCGGCUUUAAACUGCCAUUGAAGGUUGUUUUAUUUUUAUUUUAUGUUUAAGGACAAGUUGUACGUUGUACUAUUUAUAUUUAUACGUAUUUUUUCGAAGAAUAGCUGAACAUAUGUAGAAUUUUUGAGUCAUAACAUGUAGCACUGACCAGUAUUUUUCGAUGAUUAUAUUUGUUGGGUUUUUUUUGCAGUUUGGUCGCAGAGAAGUACAUUUCGGGCUUGGCACUUAGUCCACUGAAUCCAAUUCACUGUAUUUUACUGUCUUUAGUAUCGAUAUGGUUGAUUUUUAAACUUUUUGUAUCUGCGAAGCAAAUAUAUUGCUGUCGCAAACGUACCGUACCGUGUGUUAACACAUAGCCAUUAAUUAAGCAACGAGCAUAUAUAAUUGAGCCAUUUCAUGAUAAUUUAAGCCAAUCAACGAUUAGUUUACAUCGAUUGUUUACAUCGUGCCCGCAUCUAUCCUGCGAACGGGCAUCGUUUGGCCUCGUGAUUCGUGAAUAUUCUUUGUCAUUUUCACGUUUUGGCUUCGAAAUCUAUCAACAUGGGAACUUAAUAUCCCCAUCUGAUAAGUAGUCAAAUACCACAUAUUUUUUUAUCUACCGCUAUACAGUACUACUAAAAACAUUCGGCGUGUCAAAACAUAGCGUAUAAUUUCUCAAGAAAUUCGUCCUCGGCAGCAAGGCGAUAUUGCCAAUGAACAAUAUCACAGGAAACUAAUGUUCUCAGAUACAAUUGAAUUAAAUCCUGGUCCUGUAUUUUUGUAAUUCUUUUCAAAACAACAGUCCAACUAAGCUGUUCUCUAAUGUAUCAUUUGUGUAUGUUCUAAUAACAUGUUAUCAGUUAAAAUACUUAUACAUUUUGGUUUUACACAUUUACCAGUAAUAUAUAGAGUUUAAAAAUUAAACAAAAUUUUUACAAACAUUUUCAAAUGCUAAUACAGUAAAAGAAUCCCCACCCUCUCUCCUCUUUACAUUGUCAUUUUGCUUUCUAACAUAGGCCCCUAAAUGUUUUUGUUUAGAGAUAAUACCAGAAUGAUGAAUAAAAAGCUGCAUAUUGGCUAGAUAAUUUUGUCAGAACAACCCGCUUACAUUAGUAUGAAAAAUAAUUUAUAACAGCUACAAUAAUAUUAUAUGGAUGGAUCAGAUCAAUUUAAUGGCACACAAUCUACGGCUAAACUUGUGAUACUUUUACUCAAACCGAUAUUCUCCCAUGACACAAAUUGUUUUCGUGCGUGUAUCAUAUGUUGUGUUAAAACAUUCUUUACUAUUCAAUGGUCUUCAAUAUACGAUUGACUAUUUGCUACAGUAAUGCAUGUUCCUCGAAUAGUUU
Non-coding RNA from Paramuricea clavata, 1365 nucleotides. The record is from the annotation of a GenBank genome assembly. Lineage: Eukaryota; Metazoa; Cnidaria; Anthozoa; Malacalcyonacea; Plexauridae.